GGGAGGAGGGGUAGUUUGCUCCCGCCUCCGAAAUCCAAACCCCUCUAAGUCUUAGGUUUUUACGGACUUAGGUGAGGAAAAAGGGUCCUCCGCGGCAACUUUCCCGGGAAGGCCGCCCCGGUUCUGGUUCGGAGGCGCCCAGGAGCGGCGCGGCCCGCUGCUGUUUUUUGUCAGUGUUUGCCGUGGAAGCACACCCCCACCCCCAUCUUUAACGCGAGCCCGUCCUGGCUGGUUUUAUUUUUGCACUUGGUUAUAGCAGAGCGAAGGAGCUCUAAUGACACUUUUUUAGAGUCAGGAAUGUUUUUGUCCUUUUCGAUUCCCACAAGGGCUUCGCGCUAGGCUGGUGGCGGGAUCGGGGUGGGGGGGGGCUGGCCUUGGGCCGCGGAGGCCCGGAGAGGCGAGGCUCGUGCUCCCGGUGACGACGGUGGCGGGCUGAGGUCUGGCUCCGGCGAAACCUGCAGUCUCUCUCCCUCCUGGCUGUCUCCCUGAACUCUGGUUGGGAAAAAAAGAGCUGCGGAUCAGGAAGCCGAAAACCCGCUUUGGGAGACGAGGAAAUUCGUGUCCGAGAAAAUAGUGUUUCUCCCAUAAACGUGUUUGUUGUCCAAGCGACAGUAAAGGUGGAGUUUCCCAGCUACGACCCCUCUGGCUGGUUUCCCUAAGCCCUGGGCGUGGCCCCCUGUCCCGCCAGGAUGAUAACCCCAGGAACAGAGCAGAGGGAGCCGCAGAGGGAGAGCAAGAAGCAGGCUCUCUGCUAAGCAUGGAGCCCGUUUCGAGGCUUGAUCGGAUGAAGACCUAGGCGGAAGGCAGACGCUCAACUGAGCGACCCAGCGAAGGGUCAACAUCGAAGCCACUGAGCUCCCAGAGGAGUGUUACUCUGCCUGUUUCAAGGACUUGUCAGUGGGCUGCAAGUGGUUGUCUUCAGUCGUACCCCCCAGAGAUAUUCGCCCAACCAGUCCUCUGUGACCCCAGCCUACAGCAGGGUUGAACAACUUGGUGUCUGUCCUCAAGUUGCUCAACAUCCAGGGCCUAAUUCAGUGGCAGAAGUACAGUGUUGCACAACCAUCUCCACUGUCCAUGACCAGAAGUUUUCCAUCAUCCAGAGCGAUACUCUGUCCCCAUUACACAGUAAGACCCCAUCUUCCCCGCCCCCCCAGCCCCUGGUAACCUCUCUUCUACUUUCUGUUUCUAUGAAUUUGA
This is a long non-coding RNA of Ailuropoda melanoleuca (giant panda), 1197 nucleotides long. RefSeq lists it as uncharacterized. The record is from RefSeq and is a predicted model, not a curated record. NCBI's taxonomy places the organism in Eukaryota, Metazoa, Chordata, Mammalia, Carnivora, Ursidae. The transcript has 5 exons.